UACGAAGGGGGGCUAGCGUUGUUCGGAUUUACUGGGCGUAAAAGCGCACGUAGGCGGGUCGUUAAGUCGGGGGGUGAAAUCCUGGAGCUCAACUCCAGAACUGCCUUCAAUACUGGCGAUCUUGAGUCCGGAAGAGGUGAGUGGAACUCCUAGUGUAGAGGUGGGAUUCGUAGAUAUUAGGAAGAACACCAGUGGCGAAGGCGGCUCACUGGUCCGGUACUGACGCUGAGGUGCGAAAGCGUGGGGGAGCAAACAGG
RNAcentral lists this ribosomal RNA (257 nucleotides) under uncultured bacterium. RNAcentral describes it as "partial 16S ribosomal RNA". It matches the Rfam family "Bacterial small subunit ribosomal RNA", at positions 524 to 776 of the family's 1533-position model. The record is from RNAcentral.